RNAcentral lists this long non-coding RNA (456 nucleotides) under Phaseolus vulgaris (common bean). RNAcentral's name for it is "long non-coding RNA (PVUL_LNC001938)". The record is from RNAcentral. Lineage: Eukaryota; Viridiplantae; Streptophyta; Magnoliopsida; Fabales; Fabaceae.
GUACUUGUACUACCUUGAAUGGAGAGCCACACACUAAUUCCCGCAUAGAGUACAUAAACAGAUCCAAAGAGUACAACUGAUGCACAUGUCAUGUGGUUUGAGUACGAAGUUGUUGGCAUUUCUGAACUCAAGUACCUCCUCUCACAUCCCUCCAUUCUUCCUAUUUAGCUACACAUUUUUAUUAUACCACUAAGCAAACAAAACAAACACAUGCAACAACCAACGACACAUAAUGCAAUCACUCUCAUAAACUGCACAUUUUCUUUACUCAGUCUUCUCAGUUGGACCCUCCUCGCUCUUCUCAUCACCUUCUGCGAUCACUUCCUCCUCUUUCUUUUCAUCUGACCCUUCUGUCUCAACCUUCUCCACCUCACUUUUCUCUUCUGGGGUUUCUGUGUUUACCUCUUCCUUAGCUAUUUCUUUCUCUUCUUUAACAGCAUCUUCUUUCUGGGUCUC